This 241-nucleotide long non-coding RNA is filed under the name Lathyrus oleraceus (garden pea). RNAcentral's name for it is "Pisum sativum (pea) long non-coding RNA (PSAT_LNC041712)". Lineage: Eukaryota; Viridiplantae; Streptophyta; Magnoliopsida; Fabales; Fabaceae. The record is from RNAcentral.
UUAGAGCAUUAGGCAUUGCAUUUUGCAUCUCAUGUGAAAUAAGAAGGUCAUCCUCCAGAGUCUUUUCAAAAGAUGGAGAAGUUACAUGAUUCAAGUCUGAGGGUCUCUAUGAAUUGAUCAUCAACCAUCUGAGGCUUUGCAUUUCAUUAGGGUUUCUUGGUUCUUCAAAGGUCUUGAGCAUCAUUUUUGUCUGCAAGGAUAUAUUACCAUCAUCAUGGUUCUAUCAUCAUAAAGGGUUUCA